Small nuclear RNA from Chionomys nivalis (European snow vole), 103 nucleotides. The record is from RefSeq and is a predicted model, not a curated record. Lineage: Eukaryota; Metazoa; Chordata; Mammalia; Rodentia; Cricetidae.
UCGCUUUGGCAGCAGAUGUACUAAAAUUAGAAUGAUACAGAGAAGAUUAGCAUGGCCCCUGUGCAACGAUGCCAUGCUAGUUAAUGAAGUGUUCCUUAUUUUA